RNAcentral lists this ribosomal RNA (1346 nucleotides) under uncultured bacterium. RNAcentral's name for it is "partial 16S ribosomal RNA". It matches the Rfam family "Bacterial small subunit ribosomal RNA", at positions 28 to 1381 of the family's 1533-position model. The record is from RNAcentral.
GACGAACGCUGGCGGCGUGCUUAACACAUGCAAGUCGAACGGAAAGGCCCUGCUUUUGUGGGGUGCUCGAGUGGCGAACGGGUGAGUAACACGUGAGUAACCUGCCCUUGACUUUGGGAUAACUUCAGGAAACUGGGGCUAAUACCGGAUAGGAGCUCCUGCUGCAUGGUGGGGGUUGGAAAGUUUCGGCGGUUGGGGAUGGACUCGCGGCUUAUCAGCUUGUUGGUGGGGUAGUGGCUUACCAAGGCUUUGACGGGUAGCCGGCCUGAGAGGGUGACCGGCCACAUUGGGACUGAGAUACGGCCCAGACUCCUACGGGAGGCAGCAGUGGGGAAUAUUGCACAAUGGGCGGAAGCCUGAUGCAGCAACGCCGCGUGCGGGAUGACGGCCUUCGGGUUGUAAACCGCUUUCGCCUGUGACGAAGCGUGAGUGACGGUAAUGGGUAAAGAAGCACCGGCUAACUACGUGCCAGCAGCCGCGGUGAUACGUAGGGUGCGAGCGUUGUCCGGAUUUAUUGGGCGUAAAGGGCUCGUAGGUGGUUGAUCGCGUCGGAAGUGUAAUCUUGGGGCUUAACCCUGAGCGUGCUUUCGAUACGGGUUGACUUGAGGAAGGUAGGGGAGAAUGGAAUUCCUGGUGGAGCGGUGGAAUGCGCAGAUAUCAGGAGGAACACCAGUGGCGAAGGCGGUUCUCUGGGCCUUUCCUGACGCUGAGGAGCGAAAGCGUGGGGAGCGAACAGGCUUAGAUACCCUGGUAGUCCACGCUGUAAACGGUGGGUACUAGGUGUGGGGUCCAUUCCACGGGUUCCGUGCCGUAGCUAACGCUUUAAGUACCCCGCCUGGGGAGUACGGCCGCAAGGCUAAAACUCAAAGGAAUUGAAGGGGCCCCGCACAAGCGGCGGAGCAUGCGGAUUAAUUCGAUGCAACGCGUAGAACCUUACCUGGGUUUGACAUGGAUCGGGAGUGCUCAGAGAUGGGUGUGCCUCUUUUGGGGUCGGUUCACAGGUGGUGCAUGGCUGUCGUCAGCUCGUGUCGUGAGAUGUUGGGUUAAGUCCCGCAACGAGCGCAACCCUUGUUCACUGUUGCCAGCACGUUAUGGUGGGGACUCAGUGGAGACCGCCGGGGUCAACUCGGAGGAAGGUGGGGAUGACGUCAAGUCAUCAUGCCCCUUAUGUCCAGGGCUUCACGCAUGCUACAAUGGCUGGUACAGAGAGUGGCGAGCCUGUGAGGGUGAGCGAAUCUCGGAAAGCCGGUCUCAGUUCGGAUUGGGGUCUGCAACUCGACCUCAUGAAGUCGGAGUCGCUAGUAAUCGCAGAUCAGCAACGCUGCGGUGAAUACGUUCCCGGGGCU